Paramormyrops kingsleyae is the source of this 424-nucleotide non-coding RNA. The record is from RefSeq and is a predicted model, not a curated record. Lineage: Eukaryota; Metazoa; Chordata; Actinopteri; Osteoglossiformes; Mormyridae.
GAGAAAGUGUCAAGACGUAAGAAAUUAAUGUCUGUGACUGUCACGGAAAUACUAGGACCUCUGCAAUCAAAUAACAAGGACUGGCUGUACCUUCUCAAGAAUUCUCAUUGCAGAAAUCUUUUGAUUGUUUUGUAUAAAUGUCAAAAGGAAGAUCCCGGCUACAAUGAAACACUACAUCAAGCCAAGAAAUUGAUUGAAAUUGCAGAAAAAGAAAUGAAAACACUACUGAGUCACAUUAAGAAAAAUUCAGUGGCAUCCAAAGUGGUGUAUCAUAUUCUAAAUGAUGAUGACGCUGAUAAAUUAUGUCAGUUAUUUGUUGAAGAGAAUGAGGAAAAGAACUUAAAGAAUGCUCUGGAAUCAGCCAGAAAUUACUUAAAUUUCCUCGAACAGCAGCAAAAACAAAUUAAGGGUCUAAUUUUCCUCU